GAAAUGAAGCUCGAGUGGCCCAUGCUCACAUCUACGGAGCCCUGCGACGAAUUCCGCCCGAUAGUCACCGACCGCUUCUUCAUCAGGUACUCGAACUCGCGGCCCUCCAAGCGGGCCACGGCCCAGUCCCCCGGCGGGGACCCUCUACAGCCGCCACCGCCGUCACCGUCGCCGCCACCACCACCACCGGACCCGGCCGGGGGGGCCGAACCUGUGCUGGAGAGCAUCGCCGCCGCCAUCCCGGGGCCUGGAAGGAAUGCAGCUCAGCAAUGGGGCUAUCGACGACUAGCCUAUGGCAGGGAACAUCGGCCAUUAUGUUCGGUUGUAGAGCCCUAGAGCAAGCUAGACUUUGGAAAAUACGGAAAACCUGGAAGCGGCCGAGCACGGAAAUCUGGAAUGUGGGUUCUAUGCACUAAACCCUAGCCUGGCUAGGGGUAGAGUGGCUGUCCCUAAGCUCCGGAGGGAGGGCGCUACGAGGUCAAGAAAGACAAGCUCCAUGGCCCUGGGUGGAGCCACUGUAGUCUUUAAACAUCACGCCAGACCCUCAAGGUCACAGAGGGGACGGAAGACAUGACAACUGUUUUCUUUCUCCUCUGAACCCUCCACCCUGAGGAAUAAUCUGAACGUGGCCUCAGGGCGGCUGAAGGUGGCAGAGCGCCCCAGGUCCCAGACGUAAAAAAGGGCACCGGAGUUGCCGAGGAUGUGCAUGUAGCCUAUCUCUGACACCGAGGGGCUUAACAGGAGAAAGUGGCAUUUGUCUCACUAGCCACCAGAUCACUGGGGUGUGAAGGACCAGCCGUUUUGGACCAGGUUGUGCUUUGGGCCUGGCUUGACUCUUAGGAGUUCAAAGGGAGUCUUAAAAGGUGUCACUCUUAAAAUGCCUUUCCAUCUAGAAUCACUAAGGACUUUGGGGAAAAAAAAUAUUUAUCUUUCUCUUUUUGCACAAUGAUAGCUUAAUAAUCUGAGGCAUCAGCCUGCUGUAGUUCACACGGUCACAAAACUUAAAAUGGGAAAAGGGAGGAAUUACUAAAACUUAAUUAUCUACUUAAUUAGCUGAGUGACUAAAUGUCCAAUUAGUACCAGCUUUUUACAAAAAUUCAGUCAAAGCUAACUUGUGUUAAAGGAGGUCCAGGGGCAGCUAGGUAGCACAAUGGAUAGAGCACCAGCCCUGGAGUCAGGAAGACCUGAGUUCAAAUCCAGUGUCAGACCAUAACACCUUACUAGCUGUGUGACUCUCGGCAGGUCACUUAACCCCAAUUGUCUUGCCAAAAAAAAAAAAACAAAAUGAGGUCCAAAUCCCUUUAUUUCUCUAGGCCUGUUUCUGAUCUUUAUGGCCCGUUUUUCUAGAGAUGUCAAUGGGGAUAUUCAUGUGGCAAAACUAUUAAAAUCACACAAAUAUAUCACAAGAACUAUUAUUUAGCUCAUUUGGCUUACUGGACCUCUACUCUGUGGGUCCAAGGGAAAAUAACACAUGACCCGUGUCCAUGACGAAUUUUCAAUCCAGUUGGAGAUGAAAGAACUACACAAAUUAAACAAUUAGUAGACUAGCAGGUACUCCUAAAUAUAAUUGAUAAACUAUAUAGUACAGACAUUUAUUCAACAGCUAUUUAUCAGUACUCCCUGAAACCUCCAUUUGAGAAAGUUCCAGCACCAGCCAUGCUUGCUUCAAACCUGUCAGCCUCUCAACUCUCCAAACUACUUUUCCACCUUUCCCCUACACUGAUAAACACACACACACACACACACACACUUUUCAGCUCCCUUUUAUGUGUUGUUUUCUCUCAUUAGAAAAUAAACUCCUUGAGAGUAGCUGCUUGAAUUUUUGC
This is a long non-coding RNA of Vombatus ursinus (common wombat), 1826 nucleotides long. Lineage: Eukaryota; Metazoa; Chordata; Mammalia; Diprotodontia; Vombatidae. The record is from Ensembl.